GAUGAACGCUGGCGGCGUGCUUAACACAUGCAAGUCGAACGGAAAGGCCCAAGCUUGCUUGGGUACUCGAGUGGCGAACGGGUGAGUAACACGUGGGUGAUCUGCCCCGCACUUCGGGAUAAGCCUGGGAAACUGGGUCUAAUACCGGAUAGGACAGUGGUUUGGAUGCCAUUGUGGAAAGUUUUUUCGGUGUGGGAUGAGCUCGCGGCCUAUCAGCUUGUUGGUGGGGUAAUGGCCUACCAAGGCGUCGACGGGUAGCCGGCCUGAGAGGGUGUACGGCCACAUUGGGACUGAGAUACGGCCCAGACUCCGACGGGAGGCAGCAGUGGGGAAUAUUGCACAAUGGGCGCAAGCCUGAUGCAGCGACGCCGCGUGGGGGAUGACGGCCUUCGGGUUGGAAACUCCUUUCGCUAGGGACGAAGCGUUAUGUGACGGUACCUAGAGAAGAAGCACCGGCUAACUACGUG
Molecule: ribosomal RNA, 467 nt
Filed under: uncultured bacterium
Lineage: Bacteria
Description: partial 16S ribosomal RNA
Rfam family: Bacterial small subunit ribosomal RNA
Source: RNAcentral